This 497-nucleotide ribosomal RNA is filed under the name uncultured bacterium. RNAcentral describes it as "partial 16S ribosomal RNA". It matches the Rfam family "Bacterial small subunit ribosomal RNA", at positions 28 to 507 of the family's 1533-position model. The record is from RNAcentral.
GAUGAACGCUGGCGGCGUGCCUAAUACAUGCAAGUCGAGCGAACGGACGAGAAGCUUGCUUUUCUGAUGUUAGCGGCGGACGGGUGAGUAACACGUGGAUAACCUACCUAUAAGACUGGGAUAACUUCGGGAAACCGGAGCUAAUACCGGAUAAUAUUUUGAACCGCAUGGUUCAAAAGUGAAAGACGGUCUUGCUGUCACUUAUAGAUGGAUCCGCGCUGCAUUAGCUAGUUGGUAAGGUAACGGCUUACCAAGGCAACGAUGCAUAGCCGACCUGAGAGGGUGAUCGGCCACACUGGAACUGAGACACGGUCCAGACUCCUACGGGAGGCAGCAGUAGGGAAUCUUCCGCAAUGGGCGGAAGCCUGACGGAGUAACGCCGCGUGAGUGAUGAAGGUCUUCGGAUCGUAAAACUCUGUUAUUAGGGAAGAACAUAUGUGUAAGUAACUGUGCACAUCUUGACGGUACCUAAUCAGAAAGCCACGGCUAACUACGUG